RNA transcript from Cercocebus atys (sooty mangabey), 3568 nucleotides. It is a transcript of the gene named cAMP-dependent protein kinase type I-alpha regulatory subunit pseudogene, with no coding region annotated. The transcript has a single exon. Lineage: Eukaryota; Metazoa; Chordata; Mammalia; Primates; Cercopithecidae. The record is from RefSeq and is a predicted model, not a curated record.
AUAUAAUGUGUAAUGAUCAAGUCACGGUAUUUGAGGUAUUCAUCACCUCAUUUAUUAUCUAUAUGCAUUGGAAAAAUUUCCAGUCCUGUCUCCUAGCUAUUUUGAAAUAUACAAUACAUUGUUGUUAACUAUAGUCACACUACUUUACUAAAUUGAUCUUAAGAAGGUAGAGAUUAGAAUGAUAGAUACCAAAGGCUAGGAAGUACGUAUGAGUGAGGGGACAGUGAAGAGACAUAGAAAUAUAUAAUUAGGGCCGUUUCCGGUGGAGCUGUCGCCUAGCCCCUAUCGCAGAGUGGAGCGGGGCUGGGAGCAAAGCGCUGAGGGAGCUCGGUACGCCGCCACCUCGCACCCGCAGCCUUGCGCCCGCCGUUGCCCGUCCCCAGAGAACCAUGGAGUCUGGCAGUACUGCCGCCAGCGAGGAGGCACGCAGCCUUCAAGAAUGUGAACUCUACGUCCAGAAGCAUAACAUUCAAGCACUGCUCAAAGAUUCUAUUGUGCAGUUGUGCACUGCUCGACCUGAGAGACCCAUGGUAUUCCUCAGGGAAUACUUUGAGAGGUUGGAGAAGGAGGCAAAACAGAUUCAGAAUCUGCAGAAAGCAGGCACUCGUACAGACUCAAGGGAAGAUGAGAUCUCUCCUCCUCCACCCAACCCAGUGGUUAAAGGUCGGAGGCGACGAGGGCUAUUAGCGCUGAGGUCUACACGGAGGAAGAUGCCACAUCAUAUGUUAGAAAGGUUAUACCAAAAGAUUACAAGACGAUGGCUGCUUUAGCCAAAGCCAUUGAGAAAAAUGUGCUGUUUUCACAUCUUGAUGAUAAUGAGAGAAGUGAUAUUUUUGAUGCCAUGUUUUCGGUCUCCUUUAUCGCAGGAGAGACUGUGAUUCAGCAAGGUGAUGAAGGGGAUAACUUCUAUGUGAUUGAUCAAGGAGAGACGGAUGUCUAUGUCAACAAUGAAUGGGCAACUAGUGUUGGGGAAGGAGGGAGCUUUGGAGAACUUGCUUUGAUUUAUGGAACACCUAGAGCAGCCACUGUCAAAGCAAAGACAAAUGUGAAAUUGUGGGGCAUCGACCAAGACAGCUAUAGAAGAAUCCUCAUGGGAAGCACACUGAGAAAGGGGAAGAUGUAUGAGGAACUCCUCAGUAAAGUCUCUAUUCUAGAGUCUCUGGACAAGUGGGAACAUCUUACGGUAGCUCAUGCAUUGGAACCAGUGUAGUUUGAAGAUGGGCAGAAGAUUGUGGUGCAGGGAGAACCAGGGGAUGAGUUCUUCAUUAUUUUAGAGGGGUCAGCUGCUGUGCUACAACGUCACUCAGAAAAUGAAGAGUUUGUUGAAGUGGGAAGAUUGGGGCCUUCUGAUUAUUUUGGUGAAAUUGCACUACUGAUGAAUCGUCCUCGUGCUGCCACAGUCGUUGCUCGUGGCCCCUUGAAGUGCGUUAAGCGGGACCGACCUAGAUUUGAAUGUGUUCUUGGCCCAUGCUCAGACAUCCUCAAACGAAACAUCCAGCAGUACAACAGUUUUGUGUCACUGUCUGUCUGAAAUCUGCCUCCUGUGCCUCCCCUUUUCUCCUCUCCCCAAUCCAUGCUUCACUCAUGCAGACUGCUUUAUUUUCCCUACUUGCAGUGCCAAGUGGCCACUGGCAUCGCAGCUUCCUGUCUGUUUAUAUAUUGAAAGUUGCUUUUAUUGCACUAUUUUCAAUUUGGAGCAUUAACUGAAUGCUCAUACACAGUUAAAUAAAUAGAAAGAGUUCUAUGGAGACUUUGCUGUUACUGCUUCUCUUUGUGCAGUGUUAGUAUUCACCCUGGGCAGUGAAUGCCAUGCUUUUUGGUGAGGGCAGAUCCCAGCACCUAUUGAAUUACCGUAGAGUAAUGAUGUAACAGUGCAAGAUUUUUUUUUUUUAAGGGACAUAAUUUUCCAGUUCUAAGCAUAUUUAGACUGUGGCCAUAUAUGCUGUAUUUCUUUGUAGAAUAAAUGGUUUCUCAUCAAGCUCUAAAGAUUAGGGAAAAUGGAUAUAGAAAAUCUUAGUAUAGUAGAAAGACAUCUGCCUGUGAUUAAACUAGUUUAAGGGUGGGAAAAUGCCCAUUUUUGCUAAUUAUCAAUGAGAUAUGAUUGGUUCAAUUUUUUUUUCCAGAAUUUUUGUUUGCCAAGCUAAUCUGCCUGGUUUUAUUUAUAUGUUGUUAUUAAUGUUUCCUCUCCAAUUCUGAAAUACUUUUAAGUGUGGCUAUCUAUACCUGCCUUUUAAGUUUGAAACUAACUCAUAGACUGCAAAUAUUGGUUAGUAUUUAACUACAUCUGCCUCGGCUCACAAAUUUCGAUUAAGACCUUUAUCCAGCUAGUGCCAAAUAAUUGAUCAGAUGCUGAAUUGAGAAUAAGAAUUUGAGGUCUGCAAUCUUGGUUGUUAAUUUAGAACUUUUGGUUAAAGUAUGUCCUUCAGCUGACUCCAGUAUAAUCUCCUCUGCUUAUUAAACUGAUUCCAGGAGAUUGGAUUUGCUAUGACUAGAUACAGAUGGAGCAAACGUCCUAACCGAGAAAAGAGGUGAUGCUGCUAAAGGGAGAAAUGGCAGGCGGACAAAGUUCAGUGUCGGGAAUUUUCCCUGUGAGAUUCACUGGGGCAUGAGAUUUUGGAAGAAGUUUUUUACUUUGGUUUAGUCUUUUUUUCCUUUUUAUUUCAGAAUUUCUGGUGGGUUGAUUGUAGGGUGUAAUGUGUCUGUGUUGUUUCAAAUUGGUCUAAAAGGCUAUCCUGCUGAAAGUCCUGCUUUCCUAUCUAGCAUUUAUUUCUCUGGCAAACUUUUCUUUCUUUCUUUCCUUUCGUUUUUAAAGUAAACUUGUGUAUUGAGUCUUAACUCUAUUUCAGUAUCAGUAUUUUCCAGCCUUACGUGUUACAUUAUUCCAAUGAUACCCAACAGUUUUAUUAUUUUUUUAAACAAACUUUCACAGUUCUGUAAUGUAGGCACUUUUAUUUUUGUUGUGAUUUAUAUAUAAGGUAAUGUAGGGUUAUAUUUGGGAGUGACUGAAAGCAUUUUUCCAUCUGUGUGCAACUAACUGACUCUGAAUAUUGAUCCCCUCUCCUGCCCUUUCCUAGGUAAUUUAAAUUGGUCAUGGUAGAUUUUUUUCAUACAUUUGAAAAACUUUUAGGUUGUUACUAAGUAUGAAGUAUAAAUCUGGGGAAGAGGCUUUAUGUACAUUUUAGGGUGGGUAAGAAAGCCACCAUGUUACAAAUUUUUUAAUUUCCAAAAUAAUCUAUAUUAAAUGAGGGUUUUCUGAUCUGUACUUUGUGUUUAGCUACCUUUUUAUAUUUAAAAAAUUAAAAAUGAAAAUUAUGUUCUUACAAGCUUAAAGCUUGAUUUGAUCUUUGUUUAAAUGCCAAAAUGUACUUAAAUGAGUUACUUAGAAUGCCAUAAAAUUGCAGUUUCAUGUAUGUAUAUAAUCAUGCUCAUGUAUAUUUAGACACAUAUAAUGCUUUCUAAGUGAGUUUUACUCUUAAAUCAUUUGGCUUGCUGUUUACUCCCUUCUGUAGUUUUUAAUUAAAAAAUUUAAAGAUAAGUCUACAUUAAACAAUGAUCACAUCUAAAGCUU